Long non-coding RNA from Ictalurus punctatus (channel catfish), 1764 nucleotides. Lineage: Eukaryota; Metazoa; Chordata; Actinopteri; Siluriformes; Ictaluridae. The record is from Ensembl.
ACAAGGAACAAGUAAAGAAAGUAAUGCAAGUAAAGAAAGUAAUGCAAGUAAAGUAACACAGGGAACAAGUAAAGAAAGUAAUGCAAGUAAAGUAACACAGGGAACAAGUAAAGAAAGUAAUGCAAGUAAAGUAACACAGGGAACAAGUAAAGAAAGUAAUGCAAGUAAAGUAACAGGGAACAAGUAAAAAAACUACUGCAAGUAAAGUAACAGGGAACAAGUAAAGUAACACAGGGAACAAGAAAAGUAAAAGUACUGCAAGUAAAGUAACAGGGAACAAGUAAAGAAAGUAAUGCAAGUAAAGUAACAGGGAACAAGUAAAGAAAGUAAUGCAAGUAAAGAAAGUAAUGCAAGUAAAGUAACACAGGGAACAAUAAAAGAAAGUAAUGCAAGUAAAGAAAGUAAUGCAAGUAAAGUAACACAGGGAACAAGAAAAGUAAGUACUGCAAGUAAAGUAACAGGGAACAAGUAAAGAAAGUAAUGCAAGUAAAGUAACAAGGAACAAGUAAAGAAAGUAAUGCAAGUAAAGAAAGUAAUGCAAGUAAAGUAACACAGGGAACAAGUAAAGAAAGUAAUGCAAGUAAAGUAACACAGGGAACAAGUAAAGAAAGUAAUGCAAGUAAAGUAACACAGGGAACAAGUAAAGAAAGUAAUGCAAGUAAAGUAACAGGGAACAAGUAAAGUAACAGGGAACAAGUAAAGAAACUACUGCAAGUAAAGUAACAGGGAACAAGUAAAGUAACACAGGGAACAAGAAAAGUAAGUACUGCAAGUAAAGUAACAGGGAACAAGUAAAGAAAGUAAUGCAAGUAAAGUAACAAGGAACAAGUAAAGAAAGUAAUGCAAGUAAAGAAAGUAAUGCAAGUAAAGUAACACAGGGAACAAGUAAAGUAAGUACUGCAAGUAAAGUAACAGGGAACAAGUAAAGUAACACAGGGAACAAAAAGAAAGUAAUGCAAGUAACACAGGGAACAAGUAAAGUAACGGAACAAGUAAAGAAAGUAAUGCAAGUAAAAUAACACAGGGAACAAGUAAAGAAAGUAAUGCAAGUAAAGUAACAAGGAAUAAGUAAUGCAAGUAAAGUAACGGAACAAGUAAAGAAAGUAAUGCAAGUAAAGUAACACAGGGAACAAGUAAAGAAAGUACUGCAAGUAAAGUAACACAGGGAACAAGUAAAGAAAGUACUGCAAGUAAAGUAACAGAACAAGUAAAGAAAGUACUGCAGUAAAGUAACAGAACAAGUAAAGAAAGUAAUGCAAGUAAGUAACAGAACAAGUAAAGAAAGUAAUGCAAGUAAAGUAACAGGGAACAAGUAAAGAAAGUAAAGCAAGUAAAGUAACAGGAACAAGUAAAGAAAGUAAAGCAAGUAAAGUAACAGGGAACAAGUAAAGUAACAGGGAACAAGUAACAUGGGGAACAAGUAAAGAAGCUUUUUCUUUACGUGAAAAACUAACAAGUAAAGUAAGCGCUAGAAGGUACAAUUGGUAAUAAGUACGUACAGAAAGUACGUCUUUGAUUUUUGGUGUACAUGCAACCCUGAUUAAGUGUCUGGGGUGUGUUAACAAGGAAAAGAAGGGAACUGAUGUAAUAGAGGAAAACAGGAUACAAAUUAGUUUUUACACUGACUGAAAAUAUACAAAGUAGGUAACAAGUAAGGCAAGUUAAUAAUGUAAAGAAAGGAGUACGUAAUACAAGUACAGGAACAAGUUAAGAAAGUACUGCAAGUAAAGUAACACAGGGAACAAGUAAAGAAAGUAAUGCAAG